Molecule: ribosomal RNA, 460 nt
Filed under: uncultured bacterium
Lineage: Bacteria
Description: partial 16S ribosomal RNA
Rfam family: Bacterial small subunit ribosomal RNA
Source: RNAcentral
CCUACGGGCGGCAGCAGUGAGGAAUAUUGGUCAAUGGGCGCGAGCCUGAACCAGCCAAGUCGCGUGAAGGAUGACUGCCCUCCGGGUUGUAAACUUCUUCUAUAAAGGAAUAAAGUGAGGCACGUGUGCCUUAUUGUAUGUACUUUAUGCAUAAUGAUCGGGUAAAUACGUGCCAGGAGCCGAGGUAAUACGGAGGAUCCGAGCGUUAUCCGGAUUUAGUGGGUUUAAAGGGAGCGUAGAUGGGUUGUUAAGUCAGUUGUGAAAGUUUGCGGCCCAACCGUAAAAUUGCAAUUGAUACUGGCAGUCUUGAGUACAGUUGAGGUAGGCGGAAUUCGUGGUGUAGCGGUGAAAUGCUUAGAUAUCACGAAGAACUCCGAUGGCGAAGGCAGCUUACUAAACUGCCACUGACAUUGAUGCUCGAAAGUGUGGGUAUCAAACAGGAUUAGAUACCCUAGUAGUC